GGACUGACACCGGCGCUCGUGUAGUGCACACCUGCUUGCGGAAGGCGUACGCGGUGCCGCGGAACGGUUUAUCUUGCGCGGCCCCGCACCGCUCUCACUUGGGGCGGCUGUCUACGGGGACGAGUAGGGCAGAUUUCGCCUCGCUGCUUUGCGUCGCAUCGUGUUCUCUAUCACCAGGGACGCCGCUGCUUGCCGACGUUUCGCAGCGACCACCGACAUCAGCAGGACUUCUCCUGUCCUUCAUGGGCGUUGGGUAGCCGCGCUUCUCCGUAGUUCUUCGUUGUUUUAUUUGAAAGUGCUUUCGCUGUGUCGGGCGUGCUAGGCGCCCUUCCUCCCUCCUAACGACGGUAAAGACAUCCUUGACUAAUUUGCGUGACAUCCACGGCUUCCUCGAUCCACUUCGUGCAUCGCUGCACCCCCUCUUUCCUACUCACCGCACCAUGCUUGCCUCUGUCCCAGCGCCAAGGCCGGCGAAGAAGGACUCCGCUGCGUCCCGUAGGAAAUCGGCGUCGAAGAGCACGGGAGCCGCUAUCAAGGAUGGCGCAUCAGCGAGAGUUUCAGCGUCAGGUGCCGCUGAGUCACCAAAGCAGAGCUGUGCGCAGGUGCAUGGCGUCGACUUCCAGUCGCUGGUGCACGCAACGCAGGAGGAGACUCUCCGCGCUGUUGUGUCGAGCCUGCCCACGACUGGCCUACAGGCUACCCAGAUUGGCCGUGCGCGCCGACUCGUGCAGCAGAUUCUUCAUCACCGCUCGCCGGAGGAUCGCGUCUUCCUCGCCUACACAUCCAACAUGAUUUCAUGUGGUCUUCGCGACACGUUUACGUACUUGGCUCGCGAGCGACUGGUGGACUGCUUCAUCUCGUCCGCUGGCGGCAUCGAAGAGGACGUUAUAAAGUGCGGUGGCAGCACGCUGAUCGGUCAGUUCGGUCUGGACGGGCGAGCGCUGCGCCGCCGCGGCAUCAACCGCAUUGGCAACCUCCUCGUGCCCAACGACAACUACUGCUGGUUUGAAGACUUCUUCACACCUGUGCUGGGCUCAGUUCAGGAGGCGCAGCGGGCGUCGCGAUGGAAGACGCACACGGCCCCGUCCGAGAUCAUUGAGGCCAUGGGCGCCGCCAUCGCAAAGAACCACCCUGACACGUGCACCUCCAGCCUGGUGUACUGGUGCUACCGGAACGGGAUCUCCGUCUUCUCGCCAGCCUUCACAGAUGGAUCGAUGGGAGACAUGAUUUACUUCUACAACUUCUCGCACAAGGGGCUCGUCGUGGACCCCCUGGAGGACGUUGUGCGGCUGCGCAAGCUGGCAGCAACGGGGAGGGGCCGCAACUUAGCCAUCGUGCUCGGCGGCGGUCUUCCCAAGCACCACCUUCUGCGCAAUGUGUCGAUGGACGCUGUUGUCAUGGUGACAACAGGCUUGGAGGCCGACGGCUGCGUCAGCUCCGGCGUUCUCGCUGACGACGUGGCGUGCGGCCUGCUCAGAGAGGAAACGGAGACUGUGCGCGUGCAAGGUGAUGCCACGGUGGUGUUCCCGCUGAUGCUGAUUUCAGAGGAAGCUGCCACCCGGGAGCGGGCCGCAGCGUAAGCGCAGAGCGCCGCAGCAACGAGGAGCCAUGCACGCUCUCACACACGCACACACACGACUCAUAACAGCGCACUUGCGGGGCAUACCCCCACUACGCAAGCAUACAGCAGAGGCUUGAGUAAUGCAGCGACAGCAACGAGUCCUUCCAGCACGCACGGGACAAAGCGAGGCAGCAACGGCAGAUGAUCGAGCGCGUCGCAGCACGUGUUCUACUGCUGCCGCCGCUGCCGCUGCUACACGGGGCGCUUGGUCCGGAGUGAUAUCUGUGGCUGCGACGGCCUCGUUUUUUCACAUAACGAAG
Molecule: unclassified non-coding RNA, 1881 nt
Filed under: Leishmania donovani
Lineage: Eukaryota; Euglenozoa; Kinetoplastea; Trypanosomatida; Trypanosomatidae
Description: gene:LdHU3.20.0290(CDS-product:deoxyhypusine_synt hase_putative)
Source: RNAcentral